This 498-nucleotide ribosomal RNA is filed under the name uncultured Glomeromycotina. RNAcentral describes it as "SSU rRNA". It matches the Rfam family "Eukaryotic small subunit ribosomal RNA", at positions 591 to 1092 of the family's 1831-position model. Lineage: Eukaryota; Fungi; Glomeromycota. The record is from RNAcentral.
CCAAUAGCGUAUAUUAAAGUUGUUGCAGUUAAAAAGCUCGUAGUUGAAUUUCGGGAUCAGUAGGUUGGUCAUGCCUAUGGUAUGUACUGGCUUUACUGGUUCCUCCUUCUUGAUGAUCUGUAAUGUCAUUAAUUUGGUGUUGCAGGGAGUCAGGACUGUUACUUUGAAAAAAUUAGAGUGUUUAAAGCAGGCAUACGCUUGAAUACAUUAGCAUGGAAUAAUGAAAUAGGACGUUCGAUCCUAUUUUGUUGGUUUCUAGGAUUGACGUAAUGAUUAAUAGGGAUAGUUGGGGGCAUUAGUAUUCAAUUGUCAGAGGUGAAAUUCUUGGAUUUAUUGAAGACUAACUACUGCGAAAGCAUUUGCCAAGGAUGUUUUCAUUAAUCAAGAACGAAAGUUAGGGGAUCGAAGACGAUCAGAUACCGUCGUAGUCUUAACCAUAAACUAUGCCGACUAGGGAUCGGAUGAUGUUAUUUUUAAUGACUCAUUCGGCGCCUUACG